AUGGGGGAGCCAAGAGCACACAGGCCUGUGAGUCCAGAGCCACUUGGGAACGGUGAAGUGAUGGCCUAUCACCAUCUCCUUGAGAAGGACAUUGUGAUCCUGUGCACAAAGAGAGGGUUACGCAUGGGGAAAUUCAACAAGGCACAGUUAAUCGUGCAGUUGGAGGAGAAGCACCGCUCUGAGGAGCAGAUUCCUGGCCCAGAUGGGGCUACAAGAGGAUCUGAGAGCAGCUGGAGCAUCAGCCAGGCAUCCCUGGGAGUCUGGUCCACAAUCAGACGAGGGUCUUCACGAUUGGGUUCCCCAUCAGGAGAUUGGAGACGGAUGGGAUGGGAGCAGAGCCCGAGAGAGCGAGAGGACCGUGAGAGAAAGCAAGAGCCCGAGGAAAAGCUGCAGGAGAAGCAGCAGCAGCGUGGACUGGUGAUGGUGGAGCAGAGAGACAUAGGGGGCUGCCCAGGGGUCAGUGGGGAAACACGCCUGCAGGGGCGAGACCCUGGGACAGAGAGAACUGUGGUGGUGCAGCCCCAGAUGCUGAGGGACUGUGGGACCUGGGUGAAGUUCCCUGGGGUGAGGCCCCUCGGCCUGCCUAUGGCCCAGAUCCCUGUGCAGACCCAGAAGGGGUCGGGCUGGCUGGUAGUUGGGGUUCUCCAGGAUAUCGGCUGGGAGGCCCUGUUGGGGGGUGACUGUCUCCCCAUGGGACAGGAUCCAGGCUCCGCUCCUGUAACGGCCGAGGGUUUGAAUUCAAAUCCAGGGAACCAAUUGGCUAGGAUGGAAAUGGUCAGUGAAAACGCAAAUAACCUGGCUGGCAGGGGAGAGGUGCUGCUGGGCUCAGGACACCUGCCUACCUAUAACCAGCCCCCUGGGACUGAGAGGGAGGGAGAGAUGCUCCCCGCCCCCCUGCACACUGGAGAGGGGGCUCACGCUGGCUCUGAUGCUGUGACCAGAGCAGAGAGCUCGCUGCCUGGCCCCACUGGGACAGCAAGUGCAGCGCUGAGCACGGGGGGAGCUGAGAUCCUAGCUGAGUGGGGGGACACCUGGGCAGGGCAGGUCGGCUGCCAAACAGGUUUGCCUGGUCCAGACGUGCUGCUGGGAAGUGAUUGCACAGCAGGGAGGGAGCUACCAGGGACAGGGCUCAGGGGGGCUGUGACCCCAGGUCCAGCCAGCGAGAGGGAGCAGGUCCCACUCCCUGCCCCAGCAGCUGGAUCCCAGACCGAGCUGCAGAAGGAUCCCUCCUUGGAGAAGCUGAGGGAACUUGCUGGCCACAGCGCUGCAAACCCCCUUGGGGAAGGCUGCAGGGACAGAGUCCUGCAGGAGGAGGGAUUCCUGUCCUGGGAAUGGGCUCCCCAAGGGGAAGUAGAACUGGGGGAAAUCAGGAGGCAGCUGGUGGUACCCCAGGAAUCCCCAAGGUUCUUCCCAUUUGAGCUGCUGGAUGGGAGGAGAGUGAGGGGACCCCUGGACCUGAAGAGGGAGGAUUGGAUGGAGAGGGGGGAAGACCCCCAGGGGGAUCUCUUCACUGAGAUAGGAGCCAAUCUCCCCAUCAGGUGUUCCCCAUUCAGAGUCACUGGGAAAGCAGCCCAGAACCUGGAGAGAGAGGUCAAGCACCGGCUGGCUUUAGAUGGGAUCCAGCCGUUUUACAGCCCAUGGGCCUCACCCAUGGGGCUGAUCCCCAAGGGAGACAGGAAGGCCUGGUUUUAUGGGGGCUAUCAGAAGCUUAAAGCCAUCACAGAGUCCGAUGCCCACAUCUUUAGCCAGACCUGGGAGGAACAGGUGUCCCAGGUGAAGAGGAGGCUGGGCUGCCUCAAGGAGGUGGGACUGACAUUAAAAGCUGGAAAGUGCAAGGGGGGACGGCAGAGGUGUUGUAUCUGGGCCACAAAGUGGGAAGCGGCUGCCCAAGCCCAGAGCUGGCCAAGGCCAAGAUGGGGGCUCUUAACCAAGAGAGCCCGAAUCACAGACCGGAGGGCUGGGAAAAGACCCAAUCCCAGCUUGAACCCCAGGGGUACUGGGGUGGCAAAAGGGUUCAAGCUGCAUAAAUCUUCCCACAUGCGGCCUGCAAGUGCCAUCAAGCACACCCGACCUAAGGGAGGGCGUAAGACUGGACUGUCCUGGUGUAACUCACACCAAGGAAUGGGAGAGAUGCUGGGGCAUCCAUGGGAACCUUGGUGGGUUCGAACUUCCCCAGGUCACUGGCUGUAG
Molecule: long non-coding RNA, 2190 nt
Organism: Gopherus evgoodei (Goodes thornscrub tortoise)
Lineage: Eukaryota; Metazoa; Chordata; Testudines; Testudinidae
Source: Ensembl